Molecule: non-coding RNA, 47 nt
Filed under: unclassified sequences
Description: L31-Actinobacteria ribosomal protein leader
Rfam family: L31-Actinobacteria ribosomal protein leader
Source: RNAcentral
CCGGCUCCGGUUCACGCCCCAGCAUCCGUUGCGGACGACCCGGCGCC